CUUUGGUGAUGAUAAGAUGACGAGUCAGAAGUGGGUGGCUCUUGCUGCGGUACCUCUGCAGUGUCAUUUUCUGUGUGAUGCUGCGUGUGGUUCUUCAGCAGGAGCAUCCUGUCAUCAUUGAAUGAUUUAGAGGCAUUUGUCUGAGAAGG
This is a small nucleolar RNA of Bubo bubo (Eurasian eagle-owl), 149 nucleotides long. NCBI's taxonomy places the organism in Eukaryota, Metazoa, Chordata, Aves, Strigiformes, Strigidae. The record is from Ensembl.